AGUGAACGCUGGCGGCAGGCCUAAUACAUGCAAGUCGAACGGCAGCACAGCAGAGCUUGCUCUGUGGGUGGCGAGUGGCGGACGGGUGAGGAAUACGUGGGAAUCUGCCCAGUCGUGGGGGAUAACGUAGGGAAACUUACGCUAAUACCGCAUGCGCCCUUCGGGGGAAAGCCGGGGACCUUCGGGCCUGGCGCGAUUGGAUGAGCCCACGUCGGAUUAGCUAGUUGGCGGGUAAAGGCCCACCAAGGCGACGAUCCGUAGCUGGUCUGAGAGGAUGAUCAGCCACACUGGAACUGAGACACGGUCCAGACUCCUACGGGAGGCAGCAGUAGGGAAUAUUGGACAAUGGGCGCAAGCCUGAUCCAGCCAUGCCGCGUGAGUGAAGAAGGCCCUCGGGUUGUAAAGCUCUUUUGUCCGGAAAGAAAGCGCCGGGUUAAUACCCUGGUGUCCUGACGGUACCGGAAGAAUAAGCACCGGCUAACUUCGUGCCAGCAGCCGCGGUAA
Molecule: ribosomal RNA, 504 nt
Filed under: uncultured bacterium
Lineage: Bacteria
Description: bacterial SSU rRNA
Rfam family: Bacterial small subunit ribosomal RNA
Source: RNAcentral